This 76-nucleotide transfer RNA is filed under the name Microbacterium phage A3Wally. RNAcentral describes it as "tRNA-Arg". It matches the Rfam family "tRNA". From Rfam's summary of the family: Transfer RNA (tRNA) molecules are approximately 80 nucleotides in length. Their secondary structure includes four short double-helical elements and three loops (D, anti-codon, and T loops). Lineage: Duplodnaviria; Heunggongvirae; Uroviricota; Caudoviricetes. The record is from RNAcentral.
CUGGGUGUAGCUCAGCUUGGCCAGAGCGCGCCGUUCGGGACGGUGAGGUCGCGGGUUCGAAUCCCGCUACUCAGAC